Molecule: ribosomal RNA, 228 nt
Filed under: uncultured bacterium
Lineage: Bacteria
Description: partial 16S ribosomal RNA
Rfam family: Bacterial small subunit ribosomal RNA
Source: RNAcentral
CGAAAGCCUGUCUCAGUUCGGAUUGGAGUCUGCAACCCGACUCCAUGAAGCUGGAUUCGCUAGUAAUCGCGCAUCAGCCACGGCGCGGUGAAUACGUUCCCGGGCCUUGUACACACCGCCCGUCACACCAUGAGAGUCUGUAACACCCAAAGCCGGUGGGAUAACCUUUAUAGGAGUCAGCCGUCUAAGGUAGGACAGAUGAUUAGGGUGAAGUCGUAACAAGGUAAC